RNAcentral lists this ribosomal RNA (301 nucleotides) under uncultured bacterium. RNAcentral describes it as "partial 16S ribosomal RNA". It matches the Rfam family "Bacterial small subunit ribosomal RNA", at positions 509 to 809 of the family's 1533-position model. The record is from RNAcentral.
CAGCAGCCACGGGAAUACGGAGGGUGCAAGCGUUAAUCGGAAUUACUGGGCGUAAAGCGCACGCAGGCGGUCUGUCAAGUCGGAUGUGAAAUCCCCGGGCUCAACCUGGGAACUGCAUUCGAAACUGGCAGGCUAGAGUCUUGUAGAGGGGGGUAGAAUUCCAGGUGUAGCGGUGAAAUGCGUAGAGAUCUGGAGGAAUACCGGUGGCGAAGGCGGCCCCCUGGACAAAGACUGACGCUCAGGUGCGAAAGCGUGGGGAGCAAACAGGAUUAGAUACCCGCGUAGUCCCUGUCUCUUAUAU